Molecule: ribosomal RNA, 600 nt
Filed under: Halomonas sp. IO-84
Lineage: Bacteria; Pseudomonadati; Pseudomonadota; Gammaproteobacteria; Oceanospirillales; Halomonadaceae
Description: bacterial SSU rRNA
Rfam family: Bacterial small subunit ribosomal RNA
Source: RNAcentral
UUGCUGGAUGCUGACGAGCGGCGGACGGGUGAGUAAUGCAUAGGAAUCUGCCCGAUAGUGGGGGAUAACCUGGGGAAACCCAGGCUAAUACCGCAUACGUCCUACGGGAGAAAGGGGGCUCCGGCUCCCGCUAUGGGAUGAGCCUAUGUCGGAUUAGCUAGUUGGUGAGGUAACGGCUCACCAAGGCCACGAUCCGUAGCUGGUCUGAGAGGAUGAUCAGCCACAUCGGGACUGAGACACGGCCCGAACUCCUACGGGAGGCAGCAGUGGGGAAUAUUGGACAAUGGGGGCAACCCUGAUCCAGCCAUGCCGCGUGUGUGAAGAAGGCCCUCGGGUUGUAAAGCACUUUCAGCGAGGAAGAACGCCUAGCGGUUAAUACCCGCUAGGAAAGACAUCACUCGCAGAAGAAGCACCGGCUAACUCCGUGCCAGCAGCCGCGGUAAUACGGAGGGUGCAAGCGUUAAUCGGAAUUACUGGGCGUAAAGCGCGCGUAGGUGGCUUGAUAAGCCGGUUGUGAAAGCCCCGGGCUCAACCUGGGAACGGCAUCCGGAACUGUCAAGCUAGAGUGCAGGAGAGGAAGGUAGAAUUCCCGGUGUAGCG